GAUGAAGAACGUAGCGAAAUGCGAUAAGUAAUGUGAAUUGCAGAAUUCAGUGAAUCAUCGAAUCUUUGAACGCAUAUUGCGCUCUCUGGUAUUCCGGAGAGCAUGCUUGUUUGAGUAUCAGUAAACACCUCAACUCUUUUUUCUUUUUUGAAAUUGGAGCUGGACUUGAGUGAUCCCAACGCUUUCUUCCAAGAAAGUGGCGGGUUGCUUGAAAUGCAGGUGCAGCUGAACUUUUCUCUGAGCUAUAAGCAUAUCUAUUUAGUCUGCCUAAAAAACAGAUUAUUACCUUUGCUGCAGCUAACAUAAAGGAGACUAGUUCUUGUGCUGACUGAUGCAGGAUUCACAGAGACAGCUUCGGCUGACUUUGUAAACUCGAUCUCAAAUCAAGUAAGACUACCCGCUGAACUUAAGCAUAUCAAUAAGCGGAGGA
RNAcentral lists this unclassified non-coding RNA (430 nucleotides) under soil metagenome. Its description in RNAcentral is "partial contains 5.8S ribosomal RNA, internal transcribed spacer 2, and large subunit ribosomal RNA". The stretch from base 1 to 120 matches the Rfam family "5.8S ribosomal RNA", at positions 35 to 154 of the family's 154-position model. The record is from RNAcentral.